GGAGGAGUGCCGGAGCGGUUGAACGGGACGGUCUCGAAAACCGUUGUAGGCUUGCGCCUACCCAGGGUUCGAAUCCCUGCUCCUCCGCCA
This 90-nucleotide transfer RNA is filed under the name Magnetococcales bacterium. Its description in RNAcentral is "tRNA-Ser". It matches the Rfam family "tRNA". From Rfam's summary of the family: Transfer RNA (tRNA) molecules are approximately 80 nucleotides in length. The record is from RNAcentral. Lineage: Bacteria; Pseudomonadati; Pseudomonadota; Magnetococcia; Magnetococcales.